Long non-coding RNA from Bactrocera dorsalis (oriental fruit fly), 2431 nucleotides. RefSeq lists it as uncharacterized. The record is from RefSeq and is a predicted model, not a curated record. The transcript has 6 exons. NCBI's taxonomy places the organism in Eukaryota, Metazoa, Arthropoda, Insecta, Diptera, Tephritidae.
ACCUAAAGCGCUGCGGUUGUGAAGAAGGUAAUUUACGAAUCCUCAAAUGCCGUAGACUAAAGCAUUUUAUUGAGCGAAGGGAAGAGCUAUUGUUUCUGCCCAGAAAAAUAACAUAAUAAUUUAAGACGUGUAAUACAAAAUGAAAAAAUAUAUACAUAUACAUACAUAUAUAUUUUUCUAUCACCUGUGAAUUAGAGUAAUAAAAAUCAUCGUUAAACAACAAUUGUUUAAAAAAAGCGAAAAUAUAUAGUAGUGUUAAACUUAAACAAAAAAUUAUUUGAAGAAACAAAUAUUUGCAAAGUGGAAUUAUUGAAAACAUUUAAAAUCUAAGCCAAAUAAAAAAUAUAUGUGAAAAAUUUAAAAUUAAGGAACACAGAUUAAAAUGAAACAAAAAUAUAUAAAAAUUAAGUACUUUGAGUGCAAAUACAUAAAAGGAAGUAAUAAAAACAAAUUUUUUUUUGCAAAAAUAGAAACAACUCACUGCCAAUUUACUAAUCGAUUAAGAGAUUAAGAUUUAUAUCGGAAAGCAAAACUAAUAAAAUACUCAACAUCCACCACUGAGAAAAGUGUACAAAAUGUCCGUCCCUUCGGCAGCGUACCUUUUCCAAGGAUAAGUGCUGUGAAGUAGAGCUCUCAGAGGGUAACAGAAAAUAUUCAGCAGUGUUGCGACGAUGACUGUCAUUUAUUCUACCGUUAUGGCGCCAAAUCCUGUGGUCGAUACUAUUCACAGUAUGGUUUUGGUGGUAAUAGGAGGAAAUUUAAUUGUCGUUUUAGUUGUUACGACAAGAAGAAUUGCGAAUUGUAACCAAUUAUUUCCCAGUGAAUCUUUCCAUAGCGGAUACCAUGGUAUCCAGUCUCAAUGUGACGUUCAAUUGAGUUUCUACAUGUUGGAUAAUGAUUGGCCUUUCGGUGAGCAUAAGCGUUUCGAUGUUUAUACUAAUGGCGAUAUCCAUCGAUAUGUGGGUUAAUAAAUUAUAGCAAAGGAUUGUAGCGGUAACGCUAAAGUCUGACGCAAAUUAAAUUAAAUAUUUCACCUCUCCAUUGUAUACAUACAAAUACUUGUAUAUAAACAUUCAAGGUCGGCACACUGUGUGUCAACAUUUUGCCACUAAAACACUCACUUUACCUAUCUACGUCUCCCUCUCUCAUAUUCUCUAACGUUCACCUCAUUUCAGACUUUGCUAUUAUGGAGCCGUUGGAACCACGCCUCAGUAAACGGUGCAAUCUGGGCAUUGCCGUGUUCAUUUGGAUAGCCUCAAUUGCGAUUUCAUGCCCCAUGUUGCUCUUCUUUACAACCGGCGAAGUGGAAUUGAAGGAUGGUACCCCGAUUGUAUGCUAGACCGAGUGAUGGUUUUACGAAUCAUUCGCAACAGGAGCCUCAAAUAUUGGGCUAUAAAAGAAGAUUUUUUCACCUAUCUGGCCUCGCCAAAAAAACGUGACGUAGCUUCUCAUUAUGGUAAGACUUUAGAUGAAUAAUGGACAGAAACUGUGUUCUGUUACUUACUUUAUUGGCGUAGUAUAGCUUAUAUUUUAUUCCGCUAUUUGCCGCCAAUUCUAGACACCAAAUGCAGCCAGGUUCUUCCCCACCUGAUCGCUUUAAUGUAAUGGAGAUCUUUCUCUGCUUCCACCGGCCAAAAUCCACCAAAUCCUUUCAAAGCUGGAUUAUUCUCAUCCAUCCCGACAAUACGACCUAGCCUUUAAGUUUAUAUAAACUUAGUAAUGUACUUAUCAAGAUACGACGGAAUAAAUUGUAGUGAUCAUAAAAGUACCUAAAAUUAGACCUUUUUCGCAUCAGUUUAAAAAACUUAGUAUCGUCUUCCUUUAUGUUAAUUGCCCUGCAACUUUUCCAUCCCCGCAUAAAGAAACUGUUUUAUUUCUUGUUCAAAAUGUACCAAUCAGCUGUGGCUAUCAAACCUAAACAGACAAAGCUUUAUCGUUUGAAAUCCUAAUAAUUUCUAAAUAAUCCACAGGUCACCGUUGGAUUUAUAAGGAUAUACAUAUAUUUGUUAUAAGUUGCGACGAAUUGAUUUCGGGAUGUCCGUGCGUCAGCCUAGACAAGCGAUAGCUUAACAUACUUAGAUAAAAGUAUGAUAUCUGAAUGAACAUGUAUCCUGUCACUUUUAAAUACUAUACGACUCGAUAUCAAUUACCAAUUAGAAUUCGAAUGCGCUGAUAUACUGAUCCGAAUUUAUCGUUGCCUUGAUAGUCGCCAGCUUACAUCAUCACCGACCUGUUAGAUAUUCACGGUAUAGAGGCAAUCCGAAGUACUUUAAGAGAACGAACAUCGCAUUGAAGGUGAUUUUUACUUCUACGAUAUUUAAUAUAUCUAUAUUCCUAAAAUAUUUCUACAUUUUGAUAUGAAAAAAAUAAUGUCAAAUAGUGGUCAGCUUUUAUUGCUACUAUUAGUUUAGAAUUUCUUAAAAAAAAUGUA